This 69-nucleotide transfer RNA is filed under the name Miichthys miiuy (Mi-iuy croaker). RNAcentral's name for it is "tRNA-Ala". It matches the Rfam family "tRNA". Rfam says of the family: Transfer RNA (tRNA) molecules are approximately 80 nucleotides in length. Their secondary structure includes four short double-helical elements and three loops (D, anti-codon, and T loops). RNAcentral also lists the same sequence under 1 other name. Lineage: Eukaryota; Metazoa; Chordata; Actinopteri; Sciaenidae. The record is from RNAcentral.
AAGGCUUUAGCUUAAUUAAAGUGUCUGUUUUGCAUACAGGUGAUGUGGGUUAGUGUCCUGCAAGUCUUA